Molecule: ribosomal RNA, 468 nt
Filed under: uncultured bacterium
Lineage: Bacteria
Description: partial 16S ribosomal RNA
Rfam family: Bacterial small subunit ribosomal RNA
Source: RNAcentral
GACGAACGCUGGCGGCGUGCUUAAUACAUGCAAGUCGAACGGAAAGGCCCUGCUUUUGUGGGGUUCUCGAGUGGCGCACGCGUGAGUAACACGUGAGUAACCUCCCCUUGACUUUGGGAUAACUUCAGGAAACAGGGGCUAAUACCGGAUAGGAGCUCCUGCUGCAUGGUGGGGGUUGGUAAGUUUCGGCGGUUGGGGCAGGCCUCGCGGCUUCUCAGCUUGUUGGUGGGGUAGUGGCUUACCAAGGCUUUGACGGGUAGCCGGCCUGAGAGGGUGACCGGCCACAAGGGGACUGAGAGACGGCGCAGACGCCUACGGGAGGCAGCAGGGGAGAACAUUGCACAACGAGCUGGAGCCAGAUGCAACAACGCCGCGUGCGUGAUGAAGGGCUACGAGGUGUAAACCGCUGUCGCCUGAGACGAAGAGUGAGUGACGGUAAUUGGUAAAGAAGCACCGGCUAACUACGUG